AGUUUGAUCAUGGCUCAGGAUGAACGCUAGCGGUCGGCCUAACACAUGCAAGUCGAGCGGCAGCAUUGUGUAGCAAUACACAGAUGGCGAGCGGCGAACGGGUGCGUAACGCGUAGGUAACUUGCCCUUAACCGGGGAAUAGCCCGACGAAAGUUGGAUUAAUACCCCAGACAUCUAGAUAAGGCAUCUUAAUUAGAUUAAAGUUUCGGCGGUUAAGGAUAGGCCUGCGUCCCAUUAGCUAGUUGGUGAGGUAAUGGCUCACCAAGGCAACGAUGGGUAGGGGGUUUGAAAGGAUGAUCCUCCACACUGGCACUGAGACACGGGCCAGACUCCUACGGGAGGCAGCAGUGAGGAAUAUUGCGCAAUGGGCGAAAGCCUGACGCAGCCAGACCGCGUGUAGGAAGACAGUCGUAAGAUUGUAAACUACUUUUAUCUGAGAGGAAACCUACGGACGUGUCCGUAGCUGACAGUACCAGAUGAAUAAGCACCGGCUAACACCGUGCCAGCAGCCGCGGUAAUACGGAGGGUGCAGGCGUUAUCCGGAUUUACUAGGUUUAAAGGGUCUGUAGGCGGUAUAAUAAGUCAGUGGUGAAAGCCCUGAGCUCAACUGAGGAAUUGCCAUUGAUACUGUUAUACUUGAGUUUGGUUGAUGUUGGCGGAAUGUAUCAUGUAGCGGUGAAAUGCAUAGAUAUGAUACAGAACACCGAUUGCGAAGGCAGCUGACAAAACCAAAACUGACGCUGAUAGACGAAAGCGUGGGGAGCGAACAGGAUUAGAUACCCUGGUAGUCCACGCCGUAAACGAUGAUCACUCGUUCUUAGCGAUACACCGUUAGGGACUGAGCGAAAGCAUUAAGUGAUCCACCUGGGGAGUACGUUCGCAAGAAUGAAACUCAAAGGAAUUGACGGGGGCCCGCACAAGCGGAGGAACAUGUGGUUUAAUUCGAUGAUACGCGAGGAACCUUACCUGGGCUUGAAUGCUAAGCGUCUUCGGACGUAGACCAUCGAAAGAUGGCUUAAAUUUGCAAGGUGCUGCAUGGUUGUCGUCAGCUCGUGCCGUGAGGUGUCGGGUUAAGUCCCAUAACGAGCGCAACCCUCAUCCUUAGUUGCCAACAGUUCGGCUGGGAACUCUAAGGAAACUGCCAUCGUAAGAUGUGAGGAAGGUGGGGAUGACGUCAAAUCAUCAUGGCCCUUAUGACCAGGGCUACACACGUGCUACAAUGGGCAGUACAGAGGGAAGCAAAAUCGCGAGAUCAAGCAAAUCCCAGAAAGCUGUCCGUAGUCCGGAUCGGAGUCUGCAACUCGACUCCGUGAAGUCGGAAUCGCUAGUAAUCGCGAAUCAGCAUGUCGCGGUGAAUACGUUCCCGGGCCUUGUACACAUCGCCCGUCACACCAUGGGAGUUUGUUGCACCAGAAGCAGGUAGUCUAACCGAAAGGAGGGCGCUUGCCACGGUGUGGCCGAUGACUGGGGUGAAGUCGUAACAAGGUAGCCAAGGGCGAA
Molecule: ribosomal RNA, 1500 nt
Filed under: uncultured bacterium
Lineage: Bacteria
Description: bacterial SSU rRNA
Rfam family: Bacterial small subunit ribosomal RNA
Source: RNAcentral